GAAAACACAGGUGAACAGGUAAAAACACUAUAUGAACUGACUUGUAAUCAGUAGGUCCUCAGUUCGAUUCCGAGUGCCGGCACCA
Molecule: transfer RNA, 85 nt
Filed under: Thiothrix eikelboomii
Lineage: Bacteria; Pseudomonadati; Pseudomonadota; Gammaproteobacteria; Thiotrichales; Thiotrichaceae
Description: tRNA_Thr_TGT
Source: RNAcentral